GUUUUGGUCCUUGAAUGUGAUUUUAGCUGCGAGUAACGUGUCCUCGCUCCUCUCGGGCUCCCUCGGAGGGUUUUCAGAGAGGUUUCAGUGCAUCCAUUUUCUCAGAUCCUCUUCUUCUUUCCGGGUAAGGAUCUGGGGCCCUGCGGUCGACUUGGAGCGCGUAGGCGGCGGCUCAGGCUCUCGGAGGGGUCUGCGCAGUGGCCGAGGGAGCUCCCGGACGGUGGCGGCGGCAGAUCUCCUGGGCUGGACGCCGUGAGGGGAACAAGCGGAUUUUCCCAGCAAGAUCUCCAUGUACAGCUACAUCUUUAGGGCCGCUCGGGUUAAUAUAUGUCGUCAGAGGCUCCUCACGCCAAUCCCGGGGCGGCGGGGGCGGCGCCUCGCACUCUCCGCAAUAAAACUUUUUGAUGUUCUUGUUGCUAAUUGCCGAGGUCCUUUUCCAGGAUUGGCUGCCCCUUCAUAACCAUAAGAUAAUUAAAACGAGGGGGGGGGCAGGGUUAAAAAAACGUUUUUAUCAGCCAGAGGUUAAUGCAAGUGUUUAACAGAUGCUUCAUUAUUAAAAUAUUUUUCCCCAAGUCUCAAAUAUUGAAGAAUCUCAAACCAGGGACACCAGGUCCAACGAAGACCUUGGGCGAUUUCAAAGCGCAGGCACCUCGAUUCCUCGAAUUUGUGGUGUGGCCGGUAUCGGUGUUCCCCUGGUUUAACUAG
Molecule: long non-coding RNA, 705 nt
Filed under: Rhinolophus ferrumequinum (greater horseshoe bat)
Lineage: Eukaryota; Metazoa; Chordata; Mammalia; Chiroptera; Rhinolophidae
Description: lncRNA (ENSRFEG00010005756.1)
Source: RNAcentral